ACGCUGGCAACUCAAAAAACCUCCCGUAACCAUGACAACGCCACAAAACAACAAAAGACAGUUUACCAACACGAGUGACGUUUUCCAAAAUCAGUUUUAACGUUUGAUUUUUAGAAAUAAAGUUAACAUGUCGACUCUCAGUGGUUAUGACGGCGACGCUGUCGGUUUUGACGCCGUAACGUUGAGUAAACGUGAAGAAAUUAACUCUUCGACGCAAACUACUGAAUUUCAGGAAUCCGGAGUUGGUUCACAGACAAACGAGUGCAAGGAAACUGGGAGUUUAGCUACAGCUGAAGACUUAAAUGCUCAGGAUGAGAUUUUAAAAGAAUAUCCACCGCCAGGCUUGAACGAAUUCUUGAAAAAGGUCGUGCCAAAAAUGUUGGAACAGCUAGAUCAAACUGAGAAUGAAUUAGCAUAUAAUUCUUCGGAUUCUGACGAGGAAGAAGUGCUGACAGCUACUCUCUUCCAGGAGAUUAAACUGACAGAUUUGCCCGGGAUUGGGGGUGGUGAUGAAUCCCGUUGCGUCAUUGAUAUAUCUUGGAAUCGCGGCGGGACUUCUAUAGCAGUUUCUAUAGGCAAAAACCAGCAUGAAAGCUGGUGCGUUGACGAUGGUCUAAUCAGAAUUUUCACCAUGAAACGCACGGCUGGUGACACGUUUGUAAGAAGCUUAGAUUUAGCUGAAAAAACUUGUGUUACUAAGCUGAAGUAUCAUCCUACUGAGGCUGCCUUACUAGCUUAUGGUACAACUUCGGGCGAAGUUAUUUUAUGUAACCUGAGGAACUUAGAUGCGAUUUUGCUGACAUCCCCAGCCGGGGCUCAUGGGUCUACUCGAGUAAAUUGGCUUUACUGGGCUGAUGCGACCCUUGCUAACACAUUUCUGACCAUGCACAUUAUGAAUACAGGCAAACGACGUGGCGCUUCCGACCACAUCCUCAUUUCUGGGGGAUGCGAUGGCACAGUCAACGUUUGGAGGGUAAACGCGACCCAAAAGGUCUUCGAAAAUGUUAUUUGCUACGCUAUAAACGGUUCUAGGAACAUGAAUGCUCCGAAUAUCACGUGUUUUGACUUUAUAAAGACUUAUCCUUUACGGCCAAGUGACCAGAAAGUUCCAGAUGAUAUUUUUGUCGUUGGAGCCUCAUCAGGGAUGUUCUAUCUUUGCAAAACGAAGACUUACCAGCCUGUAGGGACUACGAAGACGGUGGAUCCGGUAUACGAGGUGUUCCAAGGCCAUAUGGCUUAUGUUAUAGAUGUCGCCUUCAGUUCUCAUAAGCCGGGGAUCUUCGUAUCCGCCUCCAUUGAUUCGGAGUUGAGGAUUUAUGAUAUUAAUCAGCCUAAUCCUUUGAAGGUAAUAUGCCUCGAUUCACCCAUCUCCUGCGUGGCCUGGAUGUCCAACAACCCGUGCGUGGUGCUCCUAGGGCUCGCCAAGCCUCAGGGCAGUUGCUUCAAGUGUAUAGCUUGAACAGUGGCCGGGUGUUACCUGUCGAAGGUUUGACAGGCACUGGGGUGCUGUCACUAAUAUUACGGUGAAUCAUUGUGGUAUUUGCCGCAUAGCAGCGGGUGAUGCGGACAGCAACCUGCACAUUUGGGAGCUCCCCUCUCGUCGCAUCUGGCUAACUCAGGAACACCUAGACUUUUAACUUUUUAACACCGAUUGUUUUCGUACGAUAGAACGUUUUCCAGCGAUGUACAGUUCCGAGUUCGUAAUUUUUUGGUACGAUCAGUUGUUACUAUAGACAAAACAAUUUAUUUCUUGUUUAUAGAAACUGGGCAAUAGUGUCUGAACACAUUACGAUAAAACUCAGCAUGACCUGCAAGCUCUGCUUGUCCGAAGUUAGCUACAGUAACUCAACGAUAGGACUACAAAGUUUGAAAUCGUCAAUUUUCUCUCCUCUCUGUCGUAGGUAUAUGGUGAUUAACGCUCAUUACUUCGGCUGCCCAGCAACGUCUGAUAAAUCGGUGACUGAUUUUUUGUAGGAGAAAAAUAAAGCACACUGAUAAUGAUGUCCUCCUAGCCGAUUAUCGGCCACAGCGGCUGUUCUCAUAUAAGGAGAUUAGCCAACUGUGCAGGACAUAUUAUAGUGCAGGCACAUUAGCUUGUACUGCGGUGCACUCAGUAUUCCUUCACUCUCAUAGCGCGAUGCGACGACAAUCCGACACCACCGGAGACAGAUCACAAGCAGGACCGACAUUUACGUGCUCAAAACACUACAAAAAGUUAGUUGGAGAACGUCCUACAAAAAAUCGGUCAUAUUAUCUGUCCUACAAAAUGUCGGACGUGGGUUUGCAGCCUUCUCUGUAUGAGAAGAGGCCUCAGCACAUGAGUGGGACGAUAAAAAGGCUGAUGAUGAUUAUACUGAAGUUAGGUACCUACUAAGUUGCUAUAUUCAGAACGGCAAACUUAAGACGGGUCUACGCUAGACGAACCGAGCACGAGCGAAGUACAAGCGGAGCCCUUCUCGGCCCCGUCGUUCGGGGCGAGAAGUGUGGACGUACAACGAACCUACAACGAUCACUGUUCUCGAACGUAGUUUUCCGCAGUGAGUUCGCGGCUCUUGGCGAAUAUAGACGAUAUUAAUAAUAUUGCAGUAGCCGCUGCUGUUGCAGCCAACCAAGCCGACAACAGGCAGAACGCAGCCGAGCACGAAAGAAAUGCUCGCAGCGCGCUCGUUAGAGGCUUGUUGUGACUCCACCGCAGCGGAGCUAGGCGGAGGGAAUAUUAACCAAUAGGAUUGAGGAGCAGAGAUUUUGUGCAAUCCUAUUGGUUAAUAUUUCUCAGUUUCUCCACUCCGCAGCCUAGCUCCGCUCCAGUGGACAGGCAGCCUAAGUUGGUCCACACUAGACGAAUUGUGUUCGGCUCGUGCUCCGCUCGUGCUCGGCUCUCUCAGCGUAGACGCAGCAUUAUGUGAUGAAAGCUACAUAUAUUCCUAUUUAUUUACGACUGAUUUUUAACGUUAGUAUUGGUUAUAGAUACCUGUUUUAGUUAUUAUAAUAUAAUAUUAUCUUUAAUUUACAUUUAGUUGCUUUUUUGUAAGAAAAUAAAGAGAAAUGUGAA
This is an RNA transcript of Helicoverpa armigera (cotton bollworm), 3052 nucleotides long. RefSeq lists it as uncharacterized. The record is from RefSeq and is a predicted model, not a curated record. Lineage: Eukaryota; Metazoa; Arthropoda; Insecta; Lepidoptera; Noctuidae. The transcript is spliced from 3 exons.